CAGAUCGACGGACUGGGAGGUCCUGCGGCUUGCGGCCGUAGUGGACCUCGCGGCGAACUCGACAUCCUCGGUACAACGCCGCGUGACCGGC
RNAcentral lists this transfer RNA (91 nucleotides) under Longimycelium tulufanense. Its description in RNAcentral is "tRNA-Ala". The record is from RNAcentral. Lineage: Bacteria; Bacillati; Actinomycetota; Actinomycetes; Pseudonocardiales; Pseudonocardiaceae.